CCUCUGCCCAUGGGAUUUUCCAGGAAGUUUUGCUGGAGUUGCUGGAACAUUGUGUGGAUGGCUUAUGGAAAGCAGAGCAUUAUGAAGUAAUUUCUGAAAUUUCCAAGUUGAUCAUUCCAAUUUAUGAGAAUCAUCGAGAGUUUGAGGAAAAAACUUAAGUUUAUAGAACUCUUCAUGGAGCUUACACAAAAAUUUUGGAGGUUAUGCACGCAAAGAAAAG
This is a long non-coding RNA of Capra hircus (goat), 220 nucleotides long. RefSeq lists it as uncharacterized. The record is from RefSeq and is a predicted model, not a curated record. The transcript has 3 exons. Lineage: Eukaryota; Metazoa; Chordata; Mammalia; Artiodactyla; Bovidae.